Dermochelys coriacea (leatherback sea turtle) is the source of this 2869-nucleotide long non-coding RNA. RefSeq lists it as uncharacterized. NCBI's taxonomy places the organism in Eukaryota, Metazoa, Chordata, Testudines, Dermochelyidae. The transcript has 2 exons. The record is from RefSeq and is a predicted model, not a curated record.
GUGUAUCUGAAUGUUCUAUACAAUUUGCCCAAAGUUGCAGCUUUUCCUGUUCUUCUCACUGUAAACAUUACAAUUUGGGCAAGAUGACCCCUAGUUGUCAUCUCAUGGUCCUUACUCUCUUGCUUUAUUUCAGAUUUCAAUGGGACUCUAACAAGGUGUGAGGUCUCCAUACAGGAUCAGAGCCUUCAUAAUGGAAGCAUAAUCAAUCAAAACCCAGAAAACUAUUUAUUCGCCUUUGUAACAUAACAAAACUUAUUUAAACUGAAGUGGUGUUAGGGUGUGGGUGAGAGACAAAAUGGGGAAAGAUUCAUACCAAAGAAACCCAGACAUCAGUUUUCAGCAUAGGAGGGGAUUCUGAUGGAUAUCUAAGCCCCUGGGAACAGUGGGGUUAGUAGCAUAAGUUAAUAGGACUUCGCGAACUCUGCAGAGUUUACUUGAGGAAGGAGGAUGUGCAGGGUUUGGGAGUAAUUCAACCCUUACAGAGCCAUAUCAGAUCAACUCAGACCCUAGAAUGAGACAGUCACUUCCUGCCUUUCUGGUUCCAAGGAGAAAGCCCAAAAACCUUUAACCUGAGAGGUCUUUAGGGGGCUCAGGAGCGCACAUUCCCUUCCCCCAGUAGCAAUGGGGAAAGGUUUAUUUCUGCUCUUUAUUUCAAUGAUCGUUCUUAGCAUUAAGCAAACGGUUUUUCCGAGUUGUUAAAAUGCAAUACUGGAAGCUAGCACUGGAUGGUAUGUUUUGUUUUUGUAAGGGUUGUUUAAAAGGAAAAGAUUUGGGAGAAAAGGAAAGUCAAACAAUAAGCUGACGAAAGAGGGUACCUAUACCCUGGCUAUAAAAAACUGCAUCUAACUCCUGCUAACCAGAAUUCUCCAUCUAACCCCUCAGUGUACAGAUGCCAGUGAUAUGCAUGUUAGAAGUACUAGAGAUGGCACUUACUAUGAUAGAUUUGUUCUGUUAAUGCUAAGUAAUAUGGCAGUAAUAGAACUCCCAUAAUUAUUGCAAUACAGAACAAUCAAGGCAUGAUAAUGCGUUCAUAGACCAUCUAUUUACAUCAGAAUCAUGUAGGUUUUUUCCUUUAAACACAUUAAGCUACAAGUAUUCAAUUCCUAAAGAAAAGGUCCAAGUUUAAAAAAAAAGAUGAACAUAAGAACGGCUAUACUGGGUCAGACCAAAGAUCCAUGUAGCUCAGUAUCCUGCCUUCCACCAGUGGCCAGUGCCAGGUGUUUCAGAGAGAAUGAACAGACAGGUAAUCAUCAAGUGAUCCAUCCCCUCUCACCUAUUCCUAGCUUCUGGCCAGCACAGAUGUAAAGCUCACUAACUUUUUGUAGUUCCACAGACAGCACAGUCAUAUCAAAGUGGAUAGUUUUCUCUUUCUAUUUUAAUUUGACAAACUGGUAUGAAUAGGUUAGUUUCAAAUCUAUUGGAAUUCAGAAGGAUUCAUAUUAGUUUUCUUUUUAUUUACCUACUAAAUAACUGAUAUAGUUAAAGAGUAGUUCUAAACCAGGAAAAACUGACUAAUAACGGCAAUGAAGGGUUCAUGUUUAUUGGCUCAGUAGUCUCCUGACCACGUUUAUUCCAUUCAUAUUAAAAAAUCGUUUAACUUGCUGGGAAGAUUCUCCACAUGGAAUUUAACUGGCCAAUCUGUUAAUGAUGUGUCACUAGAAUAGAAUUUUGCUCAUACUCUCAUAGCACUGCUGUGCCAUUAUAGGGAGCUGGAGUAAAGAAGGAGAAAAAUAUUUUUUCCCAAAAAAGUGCACAACUCUAAAUACCCAAGACGCAGACAUAUUGAGUAAGGUGAUGCCAUUUUACAUAGUUCCUUUCCUGGCCAUAACCCAACAUUAAAACAUUAGGAAAUUAGUAGUGAAAAUUUGAGGUUAAAGUCUGAGGGAAACUUCUAAAUGUGGGUAAAUAUUUAGACAAAAAUAAUGCUCAGCGCUCUCAUUUUUAAGGUUAAAGAUGUUGAGCAAUGUUUCCCUAUAUUUGCUUAGAAUCUCCCUUGAUUGUGUGGCACACAUUGUGAUUUUUCUUUAAUAAAGAAUGUACCAUGCAUAAUAUCCCUGUACAGACUGGGCAGUUUGCACUCAGUUACUGCUUGCAAAACAAAUCCCUCAGAAUUCCAUUACAAUAGUUUAUACUACACAUGCAGCAUUCACAUUUCGCUGAUAAUUGGGUCUGUUUUGAAUUAUACUACAAUUUAGCUUCUGUAGAAAUUUGAAGUUAAAAAAGAGAAACAACAAACAGCAUUUCCUUUGACAAUAUUUAGUAUCUCUGAAUAUUUCAGAUAUGUGUCUCCUAGCGCUUCAUAUGAUCAAUGGUACUUAAAAGGUGCCUUUCAGUUACAUAAUAAAUAUUUCUAUUGCCAUUGGUAUUUUUCUCUAUCAUUCCAUAUUUGUAAUAACUUAAUAUAUAGAGUAAUUUAAUAUAUUUAGAAACCUUUGAGCAGAUACAUUGCCCAACUCCCACCCCAGUCAAACAUUUAUUCGUUUUCUACUACUAAAGUAGUACUUUAGAUGCAUUUGUGGAGAAAGUUAUCUGGAGACAGGUAUCAAGACUUGUGUGAAGUAUAAAAGGAUAGUUUGAAUUUGAAUCACCACCGCUGUAAAUGGCAUCAGUAAUGAAAAGUAUAAAAAUGAAUAUAUUUCCUUUUGUUACAAGGUAUCCGACAUUCCACAGGAGAGAAAGAUACACUUUGCACUAUGUUUGGCUUUGCUCUUCUUGUCAAUAAAGUCAGAUUGUCAGUUAUUCUACAACAGUUUUAUUUAUUCCAGUUUAUGUAUCACCACCCAUAUUUUCCCCACCCUUCUGCAUCGGUGUUGCAACACUGUCUUUCAAUAGAUUUGUUCCUUGGAGCUCCAUUUUUGUUUAGACAGUU